GGGUCAGUAGUGGGUGCUCCCAGGACUGUGGUGUGGAUCAAGGUCUGGAUGACCCAAGGGCCCCAGCGCUCCAGCAGGGCUCUGGGGGCUGCUGAGGAGCCUGGUGGCAGCUCCGCAGUGGACCUGGCGCUGUGGCAGGGCAGUGGAGCGAGCCACUUCCACUUAGGGGCCUCACUCAGGGGCCUCCCCGGCACCCUCACGCUGGGCAGCCCUGAGGGACACCGCGGCCCAUGGGGACAGCAGCGGCUGCGGGCUCUGGACCCUCCUAAGAAGGCGUCGGUGCCGGCCGGGGGCUGCUGCUGCCUUGGGAUUUCUUCACUGCGAUGUCCACCCAUCUAGUGCCUGGGAUAUCGAUCUUCUUCCCAUGGGGAGGGGGACAAGUCAAAACUCCUCAAUUUAAAGAUAGGAAAGAGAAAUCGACGACUCACUGAAACUUCAUAAAGAAACGUAAAUAGCAGAAGAAAAGCAUAGGCUAAAAAAGAUGAAAGAGCACCAGUUAGAGUCGGCAUGAGACCACUUCGGACCACUUCUUUUGCCACUUUUCUAAAGUUUACCUGAAAAGACCACUUUGUCCCUUGAAAAGUCCGUGCUGACCUGUUUGUUGCAGUUUACGGGUAUACAACUUUUUUACCACUUAAAAACUGAUUUUAAAGUCCAUUUUCAAGGUUUAAGUUGAUUACUACUCAACUCAGUGUCACAGACCGGAAAACUCCCAUAUAGUUGUUCACCCCAAAGAGCUCUUUUAAUUUCUUUUUUUCCUUUUUAUUUUUCUUUUUUAAACUCCACAACUUAAAUAAAGGGGUUUUUUUGGUUUUUCUUUGGAUGUGUUGUGCUUUUCUGAGAAAGUGGACUUUGAAUUACUUUAGCACAGCGUCCUGGAAUUUUUAAGAACUCCUAAAAAACUCCUGAAAGUUUCUAGAUCCUAGGACAAAUUGUAUUUUCUGAGGAGCAGAAGCAAAUGAGCACUUUGCAGGCAGAGAAGUGUUUGCUCAUAUGGGACUCUUCUGUUCUGUCUAA
Molecule: long non-coding RNA, 1017 nt
Organism: Vidua macroura (Pin-tailed whydah)
Lineage: Eukaryota; Metazoa; Chordata; Aves; Passeriformes; Viduidae
Exons: 3
Source: RefSeq, a predicted model, not a curated record